Molecule: ribosomal RNA, 376 nt
Filed under: uncultured bacterium
Lineage: Bacteria
Description: bacterial SSU rRNA
Rfam family: Bacterial small subunit ribosomal RNA
Source: RNAcentral
UUAAUUGAUCAUGGCUCAGACCCACGGUGGUAGCGUGCCUAAUACAUGCAAGUCGAGCGGUCCCUUCGGGGAUAGCGGCGAACGGGUGAGUAACACGUAGGCAACCUGCCUAUAAGACUGGGAUAACUAUCGGAAACGAUAGCUAAGACCGGAUAACUGGUUUUCUCGCAUGAGAGAAUCAUGAAACACGGAGCAAUCUGUGGCUUAUAGAUGGGCCUGCGGCGCAUUAGCUAGUUGGUAGGGUAACGGCCUACCAAGGCGACGAUGCGUAGCCGACCUGAGAGGGUGAACGGCCACACUGGGACUGAGACACGGCCCAGACUCCUACGGGAGGCAGCAGUAGGGAAUCUUCCGCAAUGGACGCAAGUCUGACGGA